This 327-nucleotide ribosomal RNA is filed under the name uncultured eukaryote. RNAcentral describes it as "partial 18S ribosomal RNA". It matches the Rfam family "Eukaryotic small subunit ribosomal RNA", at positions 1470 to 1796 of the family's 1831-position model. The record is from RNAcentral.
CCCUUAGAUGUUCUGGGCCGCACGCGCGCUACACUGACGAAUGCAACGAGCUUAUAACCUUGGCCGAAAGGUCUGGGUAAUCUCCAAAUUUCGUCGUGAUGGGGAUAGAUUAUUGCAAUUAUUAAUCUUCAACGAGGAAUGCCUAGUAAGCGCAAGUCAUCAGCUUGCGUUGAUUACGUCCCUGCCCUUUGUACACACCGCCCGUCGCUCCUACCGAUUGAAUGGUCCGGUGAAGCGUUCGGACCGUGGCCUUUGGACGGUUCGCCGUCUGUUGGCUGCGGGAAGUUCGUUAAACCUUAUCAUUUAGAGGAAGGAGAANCCGUAACA